CUUGAUGACAGCUCAAUUAUAGACAGUCAUUCCAAUUGUCUGGUCCUUCAGCAGGCUCUCAGCUGGCAUCUAAAAAUGGAGUACAAUCGCUCAGCGAGUUCAUUGCGUACUGGCCAGAGAUUACAGACAUGCUUGGGUUGCGGUGUAGCUGAGUGAGCAGGCCCUGGUAAAGGCGGAGCUGCUGCACAUCGUGGGGCUCCUCUGUGCGCAGGGGACGGCGGCGAGGGUGUGGAAAAGACUUCAAAAAUUUUUGGCUUUGCUCCUAUGGCAGACCAGUAAGGCUUGAGAAGAGACCACAUGCACUGCCUCCAGAGAGCCACCAGUGUGGACAAACAGCAUCAUUCGAACAACAACCUCACUGGGCCAUUCCGUCUCCCAAAUCCUGACUGUCUUUCAAAGCUUUCUCAGAAAAUCUAUUAUUAUGCCCACAUAAUCACAAUAAACUUUGAAUUUUAUACUUCCA
This is a non-coding RNA of Taeniopygia guttata (zebra finch), 463 nucleotides long. Lineage: Eukaryota; Metazoa; Chordata; Aves; Passeriformes; Estrildidae. The record is from RefSeq and is a predicted model, not a curated record.